CGCGUGCUAAAAAGCCGCUGGUUAGAGCACGGGGAUCAUAAUCCUGGGGUCGGGGGUUCGAGUCCCUCCCCCGCUACCA
Molecule: transfer RNA, 79 nt
Filed under: Bradyrhizobium vignae
Lineage: Bacteria; Pseudomonadati; Pseudomonadota; Alphaproteobacteria; Hyphomicrobiales; Nitrobacteraceae
Description: Pseudo tRNA
Source: RNAcentral